AAACUGCGAAUGGCUCAUUAAAUCAGUGCUAAUCUACUCGACUGUAUAUCCUUUCGGAUAACCCUCUUUUGGGAAACUAGGGCUAAUACGUGGACGAAGUGCGCUUGCGCACGAGCUUAUUAGCUUUGAACUAACCCGCUUCGGCGGUUUGGUGAUUCAUAAUAAGGUCUCUUAUCUUUAUGAAAUGUCGAUUGAAGUUCUGCCCUAUCAACUUGUAUGUAAGGUAGUGGCUUACAUAGGUUCUGACGGGUAACGGAGAAUUAGGGUUUGAUUCCGGAGAGGUGGCUUGAGAUACGGCCACCACUUUUACGGAAGGCAGCAGGUGCGAAAACUAUCCAAUCCUAACACAGGGAGGUGGUUACAAGAAAUGACAGAUCACGGGGCUACGCCUCGUUUCUGUGCUGCGUUGUUGAUUUAAAGUYCCUUCGUAAUCAACUGGAGGGCAAGUCGGGUGCCAGCAGCCGCGGUAAUUCCUGCUCCAGUAGCGUAUGUUAACGUUGUUGCAGUUAAAAAGCUCGUAGUUGAAUUUGUUUCUGGACGGCCUCAGAUCGUAUGAUCGUUUGGCCCUCUAGAAUUCUGAUAGGCUGCCGCCGCCGAUUAGGUGGUGGACCACGGUCUAUCCGUUUACCUUGAAUAAAUUGGAGUGCUCAAAGCAUGCUAGUGCAAUUGAACAUUCAAGCAUGGAAUAAUGAAACAGGGCUAUGGUUCUGUUUGUUGGUUCGCAGACCAAAGUAAUGAUUAAUAGGGGCAGUUGGGGCCAUUUGUACUGGCGCAGGAGAGGUGAAAUUUAUAGAUUGCGCUAAGACAAACUGAUGCGAAAGCGUCUGGCAAGGAUGUUUUCAUUGAUCAAGAACGAAAGCUGGGCUAUCGAAGACGAUUAGACACCGUCGUAGUCCCAUGCCAUAAACUAUGCCGACUAGGGAUUGGAUAUAGUGUUUAUUAUUACUUCUUCAGCACCUUACGAGAAAUCAAAGUUUUUGGGUUCUGGGGAGAGUAUGGUUGCAAGGCUGAAACUUAAAGGAAUUGACGGAAGGGCACCACCAGGGGUGGAGCUUGCCGCUUAAUUUGAUUCAACACGGGGAAACUUACCAGGUCCGGACUCAGGAAGGAUAGACAAGCUGAAUGCCUUUUCUUGAUUCUGAGGGUGGUGGUGCAUGGCCGUUCUUAGUUGGUGGAGUGAUUUGUCAGGUUGAUUCCGUUWACGAACGAGAUCCCAGCCUACUAACUAGUCGUACGAUACUUUGUAUUGUCCGACUUCUUAGAGGGACUGCCAGAUUAAACUGGAGGAAGGUUGGGGCAAUAACAGGUCCGUGAUGCCCUUUAGAUGUUCUGGGCCGCAAGCGUGCUACAAUGAUGUCUUCAACAAGUAUAUUGUGCUCAACCGAGAGGUUUGGCUAAUCUUUUUAAAAGACAUCGUACUGGGGAUAGUCCUUUGCAAUUAUUGGACUUCAACCAGGAAUUCCUAGUAAGUGCAUGUCAUAAGCGUGCGCUGAUUACGUCCCUGCCCUUUGUACACACCGCCCGUCGCUACUACCGAUUGGAUGAGCAUGUGAGAUUUAUGGACUGCCUUACUUGACGUUACUAACGUAACUUCUUUAGGCGGGAAAUUCAGCGAAUGUGUUUAUUUAGAGGAAGUAAAAGUCGUAACAAGGUUUCCCGUAGGUGA
RNAcentral lists this ribosomal RNA (1666 nucleotides) under Barthelona sp. FB11. RNAcentral describes it as "SSU rRNA". The record is from RNAcentral.